This 379-nucleotide long non-coding RNA is filed under the name Elaeis guineensis (African oil palm). RNAcentral's name for it is "long non-coding RNA (EGUI_LNC043534)". The record is from RNAcentral. Lineage: Eukaryota; Viridiplantae; Streptophyta; Magnoliopsida; Arecales; Arecaceae.
UCUAUAAAAGAGAGGUAAAUGAACAAUAUGGAUAAGAUAAUUCUGGACGAAGGUUCUGUCAUUCCAAAUUCUCUUUAUUUGCUGUUCACCAACCUUUUGUCUGACUUAAGCAUCGGAGGGUCUCCGUCGGAUACAAUUCUGAUUUGUGAGGACUUCAUUUUAUCGGUACUCUUCAUCGAUGACGGAUGCAACAGGAGAUUAGCCACAACAGAUUGACGCACCAGAAAGGGAGACAACUACAAUCAAUCAUAUCAAAAAUUAAAGCUCAACACUCGACUGGAUCGGUGAGGCAGUCUUCCCAUCGAAAAGAUAUUCCUCCUCUAUCUCUAGUGGUAGGCCCAAUUCUUCGCAUCCUGUGGUCACCACAGAUGCACAGAUU